RNAcentral lists this ribosomal RNA (321 nucleotides) under Typhlops sp. SBH-2014a. RNAcentral's name for it is "partial 16S ribosomal RNA". It matches the Rfam family "Bacterial large subunit ribosomal RNA", at positions 1797 to 2308 of the family's 2925-position model. The record is from RNAcentral. Lineage: Eukaryota; Metazoa; Chordata; Lepidosauria; Squamata; Typhlopidae.
CGCCUGUUUAUCAAAAACAUAGCCUUUAGCCAAACAAAUAUUGAAGGUAAUGCCUGCCCAGUGAAGUCACUUUCAACGGCCGCGGUACCCUAACCGUGCAAAGGUAGCGUAAUCACUUGUCCACUAAUUAUGGACCUGUAUGAAUGGCCACAUGAGAAUCUAACUGUCUCUUGUAACUAAUUUAUAAAACUGAUCUUCCAGUCCAAAAGCUAGAAUACCCAUAUAAGACGAGAAGACCCUGUGAAGCUUAAAAAACCCCAUUAAACCUGUUAAUGGGUAUUUUUAGUUGGGGCAACUUUGGAAAACAACUUAACUUCCAAA